UACGUAGGGGGCGAGCGUUGUCCGGAAUUACUGGGCGUAAAGCGCGCGCAGGUGGCUUGUUAAGUCAGGUGUCAAAAUGCGGGGCUCAACCCCGCACCGCACUUGAAACUGGCAGGCUUGAGUGCAGGAGAGGAAAGUGGAAUUCCUAGUGUAGCGGUGAAAUGCGUAGAUAUUAGGAGGAACACCAGUGGCGAAGGCGACUUUCUGGACUGCAACUGACGCUGAGGCGCGAAAGCUAGGGGAGCAAACAGG
RNAcentral lists this ribosomal RNA (252 nucleotides) under uncultured bacterium. Its description in RNAcentral is "partial 16S ribosomal RNA". It matches the Rfam family "Bacterial small subunit ribosomal RNA", at positions 524 to 776 of the family's 1533-position model. The record is from RNAcentral.